UCACCUGUGAACAAGAGAUACUUCAACUCCUCCACUUUGGGCAGCAACUCACCCCUGACCUGGACUGGGGACUAUGACCUCAGAAUUGGAAAUCCUGAUUCUCGUUCCUGCAGCUUUGGGUGUGAGCUGCUCCAGUGCAAGCUGGAGGCCACCACUUAAAGAAGGCAAUGACCCCACAUGGUCCUCAAAAAGUCGAGAUGAGGCUCUGAGGCCACCAAGAUGGAAGUGUUCUGUUGCCUGGCUUUGCCUGGAAAUUCUCAGUUCAAAUUAUUUGUGACAGCAUGAACCAAACUCUCACUUUACAGGGACCAAAUGGCUCAUAGCAAGUGGCCAGACACCCCAUGCUCCCGAAGCACCUCCCACAGGAGACUCACAGGGAUGCAGUCGAAUCCCUGUGAUAAGUCCACAAAACACAUGUGGAUGGGCAAACUCCCAUGCACUCUCAAACAUCCUUGAGAGGAUAAAGGGAAGAUCCACGACCGGACGAAACCACAUUUGUUUAUUUUCAGGAAGUGACAGUCAGCAACAGGAAGUGUUGGACCUGAAAUAAACACAACAUCCAGAUGAUCCAGUGAGACUGAAGAAAACCCAGAGGUGGCAUACGACCUGGUACUAAAUACAUUAGAGGGUUCCCCAGGCAACCAGAACGUGGAGUGUCCACCAGCAACCGAUCGUCAGCUGCAAAGCAGAGUAUGACGAGUAUGACCAGCGACUUCAGAGGCCACACCCUUGACAAUGCACACUUCAAUCCAGUGUUGUAUGUUGGAGCAGCAGUUUAUCGGCAGCUGAG
Molecule: long non-coding RNA, 790 nt
Organism: Oreochromis aureus
Lineage: Eukaryota; Metazoa; Chordata; Actinopteri; Cichliformes; Cichlidae
Exons: 3
Source: RefSeq, a predicted model, not a curated record